Molecule: unclassified non-coding RNA, 307 nt
Filed under: plant metagenome
Description: partial contains 5.8S ribosomal RNA, internal transcribed spacer 2, and large subunit ribosomal RNA
Rfam family: 5.8S ribosomal RNA (bases 1-105)
Source: RNAcentral
GAAAUGCGAUAAGUAAUGUGAAUUGCAGAAUUCAGUGAAUCAUCGAAUCUUUGGACGCACAUUGCGCCCGCCAGCACUCUGGCGGGCAUGCCUGUUCGAGCGUCAUUUCAACCCUCAGAACCCCUUGCGGGAUCUGGCGUUGGGGAUUGGCAUCCAGCCAGCCCCGAAAUCUAGUGGCGGUCCCUCCGCGACCUCCCCUGUGCAGUAGCGAUACCUCGCAGCGGGACAGCGGUCUGACCACGCCGUAAAACCCCCAACUUCUCAAGGUUGACCUCGAAUCAGGUAGGAAUACCCGCUGAACUUAAGC